Molecule: ribosomal RNA, 505 nt
Filed under: bacterium 82_VP7_B8
Lineage: Bacteria
Description: bacterial SSU rRNA
Rfam family: Bacterial small subunit ribosomal RNA
Source: RNAcentral
UACUACGGGAGGCAGCAGUAGGGAAUCUUCCGCAAUGGACGAAAGUCUGACGGAGCAACGCCGCGUGAGUGAUGAAGGCUUUCGGGUCGUAAAACUCUGUUGUUAGGGAAGAACAAGUGCUAGUUGAAUAAGCUGGCACCUUGACGGUACCUAACCAGAAAGCCACGGCUAACUACGUGCCAGCAGCCGCGGUAAUACGUAGGUGGCAAGCGUUAUCCGGAAUUAUUGGGCGUAAAGCGCGCGCAGGUGGUUUCUUAAGUCUGAUGUGAAAGCCCACGGCUCAACCGUGGAGGGUCAUUGGAAACUGGGAGACUUGAGUGCAGAAGAGGAAAGUGGAAUUCCAUGUGUAGCGGUGAAAUGCGUAGAGAUAUGGAGGAACACCAGUGGCGAAGGCGACUUUCUGGUCUGUAACUGACACUGAGGCGCGAAAGCGUGGGGAGCAAACAGGAUUAGAUACCCUGGUAGUCCACGCCGUAAACGAUGAGUGCUAAGUGUUAAAGGGUUC